RNAcentral lists this ribosomal RNA (484 nucleotides) under uncultured bacterium. Its description in RNAcentral is "partial 16S ribosomal RNA". It matches the Rfam family "Bacterial small subunit ribosomal RNA", at positions 29 to 507 of the family's 1533-position model. The record is from RNAcentral.
AUUGAACGCUGGCGGAAUGCUUUACACAUGCAAGUCGAGCGGCAGCACGGGGGCAACCCUGGUGGCGAGCGGAGAACGGGAGAGUAAUACAACGGAACAUGCCCAGUCGUGGGGGAUAACACUUCGAAAGAAGUGCUAAAACCGCAUACGACCUGAGGGAGAAAGCGGGGGAUCGCAAGACCUCGCGGGAUUGGAUUGGCCCAUGGCAGAUUAGCUAGUUGGUGGGGUAAAGGCCUACCAAGGCUACGAUCGGUAGCUGGGCUGAGAGGAUGAUCAGCCACACUGGGACUGAGACACGACCCAGACUCCUACGGGAGGCAGCAGUGGGGAAUUUUGGACAAUGGGGGCAACCCUGAUCCAGCCGUGCCGCGUGAGUGAAGAAGGCCUUCGGGUUGUAAAGCUCUUUCGGCAGGGACGAAACGGUGAGCUCUAACAUAGCUCGCUAAUGACGGUACCUGAAGAAGAAGCACCGGCUAACUACGUG